GCAAGUUUUGUUUACCCGCCCGCUGUACCCAGCUUGCCUAAAAUCCCCGCCGGAGUUCCUGCCUGCUGCAGAGCGAUUGCAAUCCUGCCUCCCGGGCCCCGAGCAAUGCGCCUGCUGCUCUCAUGGCUCCCCAUCCUAAAAGCCUCGCCGGAGCUGCCGCCUUUCUCCUCGCAGGCGUCUGCAGCUGUCUGCCCAAAUGCUGUUCGCACCUCCCGCCGCUCGUGUGCAGCUGAUUCUCUGCCGCCACACCCGCAACAAGAAGUAGCAGAAGGACGCAAGGAAGAUGGAGAAGGCAAAUUAAACAAGCAGGCGCAGUGCCGACAGCAGCUGGCCGACGCCGAUGAACCUUUCAUGGUCAACUAAAGCGAUGUUCCCGUGGAGGAGAUCCAGUCGAUGGUCCUCUUCGGCCGCUCGUGGAUCAAUAUCGGCGACCUCGACGACAUCGCCGGGGGCGCUCCGUGCUUUCCGUGGGGCUAAGAUGGCUAUCCACCGGGUCAGCAAGAUGUAGAAGAUGAACUUCAUCGUGAUCAGUGACCUCGACGACAUCGCCGAGGCCCGCUCCGUGCUUAUAUGCGGGGCUACGAAGGCUAUAUCCAUCGGGUCGGCAAGAUGUCGAAGAUGAACUUGGUCAUGCUAUCACCCGUGCCGGCAUCAGCAUCACUGCAUCAGCACGCAGAUGGUUCGCUUCGGCAACGCUGUUAGCAAGGAGUCCAUCCAUCAACAUGUUGAGGACGUGGUUUCCCUCCAAAAGUGUAGUCCCUCAAGGCUACAACACAGCAGGAAGACGAACUAACAAGGGAUGGUCGUGUUGUUUGUGCAUACAUGCUGAGUUUAUUGUCAAGAUAAAUUAAGUUUAUUACUGAUGUCACCUAAUUCACACUUAGACUAUUCCGUCCGGAGUGAAGUGGAGUUUGACAAGGCUCAACAGGCAGUAUGCAUAUUCAGGGAACAACUCAUAUAUGAUUCUUACAUACUCUUUCUCUGCACAAGCCUUAAGGAAGCAGGGCAUUUAUCACAAUCAAAAGGCGUAUGUAGGAGCUCAAAACAAGCAUAUUGAUGUGCAACAAUUUAUUUUCAGAAGAAUUGUAUUUCCAGUGCUGCCUUCGUCAGGGAAAGAAGCUUGGCACUUCAAUAUUUGAAAGAAAAUAGUCAUAUGAAAGGUUUUGAAUUUAAUUUUCUGCCAUGGACCAUUCAGGAGAAAAUAUGGAUGAUUUCAUAAAGCAUAUCAGAUCAGCAGCUAACUGAAUAGGCUCCCUGCUGGCUGGCUGAUGCAUCGCUCCCUAGAGAUGUUGGUUGCUCAACACUUUCAGUUAUUCCUCAAGGAUGUACUUAAGCAAAAAGAUUUCCCAAAAGUGCUUCAUCCUCAUGACUUACCACACAUUCUAAUUUUCACUGAUUUCACUCUGCAACUCAGCUGUGACGUCUCACUAAUUUUCUUUCCUUCAUGGAGAAAAAUAAGUCAGAUGAACUAAACCCUUCAUCCAUUAUUCUUCUAAAAGGGAAGAUAAUUGUAGACACUCCUUACAUGUAUAUUUCUUCAACAGUGAUACCUCUCCUCUGAAUGGACAUGACAAGACAGAUUAUUAUCUCAUAAUUGAAUGAAAAAUAAAAAGCAUUUUUGUCAGCUUUGCACUAUCAACACGUCUUGUCCAUUGUUUGGUUUCUUUAAGAAGUUUCAGCACAAAUUGAACAAUGCCAGGAGAGUAAGCUAUCUAAAGCAGCACCAAGCAAGUACCAUAUUUUUCAUAUCUCCAUAUAUUAGGACUGAAAAUUUUCCAACAUGGAUGAAAGUAGGCAUGUACAAAAGCUUUCAUUGUUGCAAACGAUAAUAUGCUUUAGCUGUAAAAAUUCUUCAAGUAUAUGCAGCAAGAUAGUGCCAACACGAUCUACAGAGAAGACUGUCAUGAUUUGAGCACUUGAACUUCAGUCUGAACAAGGCUGGAAGACUAACAGCACAUCUUGCUACUGAGAAUAACAGCACCAAAUGGUAGCGAUGAUCAUUAUGAUUGAAGGCUGGAGAAAAACUUGAUUCUGCCAGAAAAGAUACCCGCUUGAACUACAAAGCUAUUGACCUAUGUACCUACAUCCGCAAAUCAAACAAUAUUCUGGAUCCUAUGUCAAUUCAUCGAGUUGACCAACACGUUUCCAGGCUGAGUGUUUCUUUUUCGUUCUCAUCUCAAACUCAAAACGUAUGUUGUGAUCUGUAAUUUUCCGAUCACUGAUACUGUCAUGCUGAUGACUGCUAACAAGCAGGCCCAAGAAGCAUUAUUUCCAACAUAGGAGACAUUAGAAAAUUUCAAAAAAAAAUUAUAUAAAAGCUAAUUUCAUUUCAGGAUAUCAAGAGGGAAGCUUUGAGAUACAGGGAUCAAGACUUUCAAGCUGAAUGGAAGUUAUCGAGAAAUCAGAAUUAAGAAGUCGCAAGCUGGUGAUGGAGUUGAAGAAAUGGUUGUUGUUCCAGAUCAACCAUCCGACACCACCAUAGUGGUGGGCUGACCAAAGUACAAGAGAAGCCUACACAAUACAAAACAUCUGAAAAUAGUACGAAGCUUUUGUAAGAUCCUAUUUCAGAAGCUUACAUGGUGGUGUUAAUUGGUUGAAAUACAUUUGGCUAGCGAAUCUAAACUUUGUUUUAGAUAAGUUAUGUUGUUUUGGUAUCUACAUGUUUCAAUGAAACAUCAUUGUUUACUAGGUUUAUUUGAUUUUAUUAAUGUAUCUAGGAGAUAUAAUUUUUUUAGAUUGUUAAAGCUCAAAGUGGAUGAAAUAAUUCUGGCUCAGGACCAUGGUUAUGUUUUA
Long non-coding RNA from Panicum virgatum (switchgrass), 2793 nucleotides. RefSeq lists it as uncharacterized. The record is from RefSeq and is a predicted model, not a curated record. The transcript is spliced from 4 exons. Lineage: Eukaryota; Viridiplantae; Streptophyta; Magnoliopsida; Poales; Poaceae.